Molecule: ribosomal RNA, 497 nt
Filed under: uncultured bacterium
Lineage: Bacteria
Description: partial 16S ribosomal RNA
Rfam family: Bacterial small subunit ribosomal RNA
Source: RNAcentral
GAUGAACGCUGGCGGCGUGCCUAAUACAUGCAAGUCGAGCGAACGGACGAGAAGCUUGCUUCUCUGAUGUUAGCGGCGGACGGGUGUGUAACACGUGGAUAACCUACCUAUAAGACUGGGAUAACUUCGGGAAACCGGAGCUAAUACCGGAUGAUAUUUUGAACAGCAUGGUUCAAAAGUGUAAGACGGUCUUGCUGUCACUUAUAGAUGGAUCCGCGCUGCAUUAGCUAGUUGGUAAGGUAACGGCUUACCAAGGCAACGAUGCAUAGCCGACCUGAGAGGGUGAUCGGCCACACUGGAACUGAGACACGGUCCAGACUCCUACGGGAGGCAGCAGUAGGGAAUCUUCCGCAAUGGGCGAAAGCCUGACGGAGCAACGCCGCGUGAGUGAUGAAGGUCUUCGGAUCGUAAAACUCUGUUAUUAGGGAAGAACAAAUGUGUAAGUAACUGUGCACAUCUUGACGGUACCUAAUCAGAAAGCCACGGCUAACUACGUG